This 447-nucleotide ribosomal RNA is filed under the name uncultured bacterium. RNAcentral describes it as "partial 16S ribosomal RNA". It matches the Rfam family "Bacterial small subunit ribosomal RNA", at positions 29 to 523 of the family's 1533-position model. The record is from RNAcentral.
AACGAACGCUGGCGGCAGGCUUAACACAUGCAAGUCGAACGCCCCGCAAGGGGAGUGGCAGACGGGUGAGUAACGCGUGGGAACAUACCCUUUGGUGCGGAACAACAACUGGAAACGGUUGCUAAUACCGCAUGAGCCCUACGGGGGAAAGAUUUAUCGCCAAAGGAUUGGCCCGCGUCGGAUUAGCUAGUUGGUGGGGUAAUGGCCUACCAAGGCGACGAUCCGUAGCUGGUCUGAGAGGAUGAUCAGCCACACUGGGACUGAGACACGGCCCAGACUCCUACGGGAGGCAGCAGUGGGGAAUAUUGGACAAUGGGCGCAAGCCUGAUCCAGCCAUGCCGCGUGAGUGAUGAGGGCCCUAGGGUUGUAAAGCUCUUUCAGCGAGGAGGAUAAUGACGUUACUCGCAGAAGAAGCCCCGGCUAACUUCGUGCCAGCCGCCGCAGUAA